GGGCCGCUAGCUCAACUGGCAGAGCGGCGGACUCUUAAUCCGCGGGUUCCGGGUUCGACUCCCGGGCGGCCCUCCA
RNAcentral lists this transfer RNA (76 nucleotides) under Pseudomonadota bacterium. RNAcentral's name for it is "tRNA-Lys". It matches the Rfam family "tRNA". Rfam says of the family: Transfer RNA (tRNA) molecules are approximately 80 nucleotides in length. Their secondary structure includes four short double-helical elements and three loops (D, anti-codon, and T loops). The record is from RNAcentral. Lineage: Bacteria; Pseudomonadati; Pseudomonadota. RNAcentral also lists the same sequence under 3 other names.